UACGAAGGGGGCUAGCGUUGCUCGGAAUCACUGGGCGUAAAGCGCACGUAGGCGGCUUUUUAAAUCAGGGGUGAAAUCCUGGAGCUCAACUCCAGAACUGCCUUUGAUACUGAGAAGCUUGAGUCCGGGAGAGGUGAGUGGAACUGCGAGUGUAGAGGUGAAAUUCGUAGAUAUUCGCAAGAACACCAGUGGCGAAGGCGGCUCACUGGCCCGGUACUGACGCUGAGGUGCGAAAGCGUGGGGAGCAAACAGG
Molecule: ribosomal RNA, 253 nt
Filed under: uncultured bacterium
Lineage: Bacteria
Description: partial 16S ribosomal RNA
Rfam family: Bacterial small subunit ribosomal RNA
Source: RNAcentral